GACGAACGCUGGCGGCGUGCCUAAUACAUGCAAGUAGAACGCUGAAGGAGGAGCUUGCUCUUCUGGAUGAGUUGCGAACGGGUGAGUAACGCGUAGGUAACCUGCCUGGUAGCGGGGGAUAACUAUUGGAAACGAUAGCUAAUACCGCAUAACAGUAGAUGUUGCAUGACAUUUGCUUAAAAGGUGCAAUUGCACCACUACCAGAUGGACCUGCGUUGUAUUAGCUAGUUGGUGGGGUAACGGCUCACCAAGGCGACGAUACAUAGCCGACCUGAGAGGGUGAUCGGCCACACUGGGAAUGAGACACGGCCCAGACUCCUACGGGAGGCAGCAGUAGGGAAUCUUCGGCAAUGGACGGAAGUCUGACCGAGCAACGCCGCGUGAGUGAAGAAGGUUUUCGGAUCGUAAAGCUCUGCUGUAAGGGAAGAACGAGUGUGAGAGUGGAAAGUUCACACUGUGACGGUAUCUUACCAGAAAGGGACGGCUAACUACGUG
Molecule: ribosomal RNA, 495 nt
Filed under: uncultured bacterium
Lineage: Bacteria
Description: partial 16S ribosomal RNA
Rfam family: Bacterial small subunit ribosomal RNA
Source: RNAcentral